CGUUGAGCAGGUCCUGGUACUCCUGCAGGUGGCGGGCCAUCUCGUCCUUGAGGCUCUGCCCCUCCUCUUCCAGCCGGGCCAGCGCCUCCUGCGACUGCGGCCCGUGGACCGGGGACACAGAAGACACUGCUACGUCUCCAGCACCUAGCACAGUGCCUGGUCAGGGAAUGCAGGAAUGGAACAGUGUUCGCCACGGAAUCCAGAAUCUCCAGCACUGGCAGCUCCAUCCACGUGACUGAACCCUGUCCUCUUCCACCUUACACAGGGGAUUCUGGCUUCCAGUCCUGCCUGGUCCCAGUGCCCUCCCUUCUAUGAUAUCCUUCCUGUCCCCACAUUGUAUAUAAACUCUGCCCUGCUGUGUU
Balaenoptera ricei (Rice's whale) is the source of this 362-nucleotide long non-coding RNA. RefSeq lists it as uncharacterized. The transcript has 3 exons. Lineage: Eukaryota; Metazoa; Chordata; Mammalia; Artiodactyla; Balaenopteridae. The record is from RefSeq and is a predicted model, not a curated record.